This 586-nucleotide long non-coding RNA is filed under the name Lepidothrix coronata (blue-crowned manakin). RNAcentral's name for it is "lncRNA (ENSLCOG00000003507.1)". The record is from RNAcentral. Lineage: Eukaryota; Metazoa; Chordata; Aves; Passeriformes; Pipridae.
CCCGCCCGCCGCGGGGCAGCGCCGGGGCGCCAACGCCGAGGGGCUGUUCUUUUAAAAAACCCUCCUUUUCUCCGGGCUGAACCCAAAGCCUUCUUUUCUCCGGGCUGAACAAUCCCACCUCUCAGCCUUUCCGCGUACGAGAGGUGCUCCAGCCCUCUAAUCAUCUUCGUUGCCCUUAGUUCUUGUUUGUAAGAAGUAUCACUGUUUCUGUAUCCUUACACCCUUCAGAGAAAAAAUAGUCAGACUGAAGCACAGCAAAAGGUGAAGAAGUUGCGAUGAGGAACUUGGUGGUACAUGAACUCUGCAAACCAGCUGGACACGACAAACAGCCUUGGUCUGAGGGCACGUGUGGGGUACAGGAGAAGCAGGGAUGAGAUCCAUAUGGAGUCAACACAUCAUUCCUCACGCUACAGAAUGGUGCAAAUACCUCCAGUCAGUGAGGUGGUUGCCUGGUGUGGUGGAGAAUUGGAAUGGGAUAGACACACUAGGAAUAUGAGACUUUUACGUGUACACCCAAGUAAGUCUGAUAAAGAACCCAAGUGGAAAUCUCUUGGUCACAAAGAAUACAAUUACAGAGCGAUAGAGG